UGGAAAUAUUAAAAUAGAUCAAAAUUGAGAUCUUCAUUUUGCUUUGUAUUUUCUCUCUUCGAUCACGUCAAAAAGAAGCACAAAAUGGAUUUCAAUUAACGUCAAACAAAGAGUUUACGUAUAACGUGUCAACGUCAUAAUGGUUUCAAAUUCAUGGGGUAUAUCUGAGCAGAGCAAACGAAACAACGGAAAAAUAAUCCAAAGAGACGAUCACAAUCUUUUCAUAACUCUGAAAGAUAAUCAAGUAAAUUCACGUGGGUAGUGCGUGUGCGUCCCAAAGUUCAUACGAAUGAAAACGUAGUUUUCGAAGCAUGGAAUUGACGCGUAGCUGGACCAAGAGGAAGGAGCAAGACGAAGAGACCAGAAGAGACUGUUUUCAGAAUUGAAUGCGAUAUAACUAGAGGAUGAACACGGGCGCUUCGAAUGGCUGAUACGCGCAGGCGCCUUUAGCCGAUAAAAAAUCGCUUCUACCCCACUUCCACGACCGUGCUUGCUAGUUUGUAUGCUUUGGAUUUAUAUUAGUAUAUGAGUAUUGCAAAUAAGAAGCAUGAACACUGCGUACUCGCCAGUCACUGCUGACGUAGAGUCAGGGUCUUCGUAUUUUACCAGAAAUUUGCAGCAGGCUAACAUAAAUUAUGGGCGUUUUUCUCGCCAUGAUAAUAAGAAUGGAAAAGACACCAAAUGGAAUUACUAAUCUAGCAUGUGUCUAAUUAUUCAUCAAUACGAAACAGAUAUUUGAUUGAGAAUCAUACAAGUUCUAUGUUUCUGUAGACUUUAUCCUUCAUGACAUGGCUCGUUUGUGAAAGAGUGGAAAAAACAUUCCAAAGUAUGAUCUAUUGGGAUCUAUGUAUUUCUGAAUAUUUGUAAUAUCUUUGACCGUUUAAUUGGAAUCUCUUCAAUUAGCUGACACUUAUGAAUAUAUGUGCCGAAAUUUAGCAGGGGCCCCUAGAAAACAGGUUUGUUGUUCUUAUCAUUGGGUCAUAACUUGAUGAAUACAAGCAAUUUCAUUAUACUUUCUAUCCCAUCGAAAUUAUUGCAUGAAUAAAAUUGCAAAACUCUACUGAGCAAAGAUUUCGUAUAGGCUUACGGCUAUAUACGGCGGGCGAUUAACGAGAGUGCAUAUAUUAACACAGGUAUAUAUGAUAUUUUCGGAGGUAUUUCGCCAAUAAAAGUUAUGUUACCAUUAAUAAAAGAACAAAAAAAGAAUCAAGCUAACUAUAAACAUAGUAUGGUUAUUUGAAACGAAAAAGAAAAUAUAAUUCUUCUGUUGAUACACUGAAAUGUUACAAAGUUGUGAAUCUCUACCAACAAUGUUGUUUCACAAUUCAAGUUCGAACCCAAUUCGAGAUUAGGAUAAUUCUCGAAAGUUUCGUAAACAGAAUUUUUUCUAGCUUUGGGCUACUGAUACAAAAAAACGUUUCGGUAAUCGUACGUUGCCGAAAGGUUGAUAAAAAAAAUAUCGCACACUUCAAAGCGAUGCAGCAAGACAAGAGAGAAAGUUUCUUGAAUUAGACCGAAUACUAGACUUUUUUAGACUUCUCAGGACAAAUCAAGUUUCGCGUAAAGCAAGAUGAAGAAAAAACAAGGAAAAUGAAUAUGAAAGACUAAAAUGAAAUGAUGAGAAAAUUGCUCAACAUUAAUCCUUACGUGGAGAUUCGAAGAAACUGUCGCGUAAUAAUUUCACUGUACCAAUUAAAAUUGGCGCGAAUCGGAGAUAUCAAAUGGAAAUGGAUAGAUAGAUGCAAUCUCAAAAUGAAAACGAUUCGCGGUGUAGUUUUGUUAAAACGAAAUGACGCAUCAUUCGAGAAAAUCUUUGUCCCACGUGUUGGUGGUCGUCCAAAAAAAAUUCUUGUUCGCCGACCAUUCAAACUCUCUUUUUUCCCCAUCCGUAGCUAUACCAACAAUAAGAUUGCAGAUCGAAAUAGCUGUUAGGAGAGUUCAAUGCCACGUUGUCUGCAUAAAAACUUCAACAAUUUAGACUAGGAAAAAACGUAAAUAUAAAAUAAACGCUUUAUACUAUUUUAGUGUUUUUAGGAAUAUCAGCAAACAACAAGUUAUUAAACUCUCGGUUGUUAUUGCCGCGAAAUCAAAUGAAUAAACAUAUCAAUAAACUUUAUAUCAAAUUUCCAAUUUGUACGUCAAUGAAUAUAACUUCAAGGAAAAUAACAUUGCAACUUACAAUUAGAAAACGAAUGAAUGAGUUGGACUUUAUUUCCAGUGAAAGAGACAAGUCAUCUCACAGGAAAUAUAAUUCUCCUCACUCUCUUUCUACAGUCGUGCAAACGCACAGGAUGACAUGGUCAUAAUUGCAAUUGGUAUUUAUUUUUAUUUUGAUCAGUAUUCUGUCUAUACCAUUUCAUGAAACGUCAUGAUCAAGAGUUGAAAAAAUUUGCUAAUGUGCAAAGAAAGCGUCUCAAGGUUGAUUCUACGUAUCGUAGUUUAUUAAAAUUAUUGCUUCAACUGAAUGAAAAUGAAUAAAUAAUAUU
Long non-coding RNA from Athalia rosae (coleseed sawfly), 2486 nucleotides. RefSeq lists it as uncharacterized. NCBI's taxonomy places the organism in Eukaryota, Metazoa, Arthropoda, Insecta, Hymenoptera, Athaliidae. The record is from RefSeq and is a predicted model, not a curated record. The transcript is spliced from 2 exons.